UACGGAGGAUGCGAGCGUUAUCCGGAUUUAUUGGGUUUAAAGGGUGCGUAGGCGGGUUAUCAAGUCAGCGGUAAAAUCGUGGAGCUCAACUCCAUCCAGCCGUUGAAACUGGGGGCCUUGAGUGCGGCGGAGGCAUGCGGAAUGCGCGGUGUAGCGGUGAAAUGCAUAGAUAUCACGCAGAACUCCGAUUGCGAAGGCAGCGUACCGGCGCCCAACUGACGCUGAAGCACGAAGGCGUGGGUAUCGAACAGG
This 252-nucleotide ribosomal RNA is filed under the name uncultured Bacteroidales bacterium. RNAcentral's name for it is "partial 16S ribosomal RNA". It matches the Rfam family "Bacterial small subunit ribosomal RNA", at positions 524 to 776 of the family's 1533-position model. The record is from RNAcentral. Lineage: Bacteria; Pseudomonadati; Bacteroidota; Bacteroidia; Bacteroidales.